RNAcentral lists this ribosomal RNA (576 nucleotides) under Salmonella enterica. RNAcentral's name for it is "partial 23S ribosomal RNA". It matches the Rfam family "Bacterial large subunit ribosomal RNA", at positions 665 to 1238 of the family's 2925-position model. Lineage: Bacteria; Pseudomonadati; Pseudomonadota; Gammaproteobacteria; Enterobacterales; Enterobacteriaceae. The record is from RNAcentral.
GCCGGAGGGAAACCGAGUCUUAAUUGGGCGUUAAGUUGCAGGGUAUAGACCCGAAACCCGGUGAUCUAGCCAUGGGCAGGUUGAAGGUUGGGUAACACUAACUGGAGGACCGAACCGACUAAUGUUGAAAAAUUAGCGGAUGACCUGUGGCUGGGGGUGAAAGGCCAAUCAAACCGGGAGAUAGCUGGUUCUCCCCGAAAGCUAUUUAGGUAGCGCCUCGUGAAUUCAUCUCCGGGGGUAGAGCACUGUUUCGGCUAGGGGGCCAUCCCGGCUUACCAACCCGAUGCAAACUGCGAAUACCGGAGAAUGUUAUCACGGGAGACACACGGCGGGUGCUAACGUCCGUCGUGAAGAGGGAAACAACCCAGACCGCCAGCUAAGGUCCCAAAGUCAUGGUUAAGUGGGAAACGAUGUGGGAAGGCCCAGACAGCCAGGAUGUUGGCUUAGAAGCAGCCAUCAUUUAAAGAAAGCGUAAUAGCUCACUGGUCGAGUCGGCCUGCGCGGAAGAUGUAACGGGGCUAAACCAUGCACCGAAGCUGCGGCAGCGACGCUUAUGCGUUGUUGGGUAGGGGAGCG